RNAcentral lists this transfer RNA (66 nucleotides) under Marmota monax (woodchuck). RNAcentral's name for it is "tRNA.Ala". Lineage: Eukaryota; Metazoa; Chordata; Mammalia; Rodentia; Sciuridae. The record is from RNAcentral.
GGUUGUGGUUCAGGGGUAGAAUGCUUGCCUAGCAUGCAUGAGGCAUGGGUUCGAUCCCUGGCACCA